UGCGUAGGCGGCCUAUUAAGUUGGAUGUGAAAUACCCGGGCUUAACUUGGGGGGUGCAUCCAAAACUGGCAGGCUAGAGUGCAGGAGAGGGAAGCGGAAUUCCUAGUGUAGCGGUGAAAUGCGUAGAUAUUAGGAGGAACACCAGUGGCGAAGGCGGCUUUCUGGACUGUAACUGACGCUGAGGCACGAAAGCGUGGGGAGCAAACA
This 207-nucleotide ribosomal RNA is filed under the name uncultured bacterium. RNAcentral's name for it is "partial 16S ribosomal RNA". It matches the Rfam family "Bacterial small subunit ribosomal RNA", at positions 568 to 774 of the family's 1533-position model. The record is from RNAcentral.